Molecule: ribosomal RNA, 293 nt
Filed under: uncultured bacterium
Lineage: Bacteria
Description: partial 16S ribosomal RNA
Rfam family: Bacterial small subunit ribosomal RNA
Source: RNAcentral
GUGUCAGCCGCCGCGGUAAUACGGGGGGAGCAAGCGUUGUUCGGAUUUACUGGGCGUAAAGGGCGCGUAGGCGGUCAGCACAAGUCAGUUGUGAAAUCUCCGGGCUUAACUCGGAAAGGUCAACUGAUACUGUGCGACUAGAGUGCAGAAGGGGCAACUGGAAUUCUCGGUGUAGCGGUGAAAUGCGUAGAUAUCGAGAGGAACACCUGCGGCGAAGGCGGGUUGCUGGGCUGACACUGACGCUGAGGCGCGAAAGCCAGGGGAGCGAACGGGAGGAGAAACCCUCGGAGUAC